CGACCGCUGACUCAUAGCAGUGCCAACUCUGAUGUAACGACGUUUCUUCUGAGUGGUACAAGCAAAUAAUCAAAACUUUUAACAACGGAUCUCUUGGUUCUGGCAUCGAUGAAGAACGCAGCGAAAUGCGAUAAGUAAUGUGAAUUGCAGAAUUCAGUGAAUCAUCGAAUCUUUGAACGCACAUUGCGCCCGCCAGCAUUCUGGCGGGCAUGCCUGUUCGAGCGUCAUUUCAACCCUCAAGCUCUGCUUGGUGUUGGGGCCCUACAGCUGAUGUAGGCCCUCAAAGGUAGUGGCGGACCCUCCCGGAGCCUCCUUUGCGUAGUAACUUUACGUCUCGCACUGGGAUCCGGAGGGACUCUUGCCGUAAAACCCCCAAUUCUCCAAAGGUUGACCUCGGAUCAGGUAGGAAUACCCGCUGAACUUAAGCAUAUCAAUAAGCCGGAGGAAA
RNAcentral lists this ribosomal RNA (448 nucleotides) under Colletotrichum gloeosporioides. RNAcentral describes it as "eukaryotic LSU rRNA". The stretch from base 74 to 227 matches the Rfam family "5.8S ribosomal RNA". The record is from RNAcentral. Lineage: Eukaryota; Fungi; Ascomycota; Sordariomycetes; Glomerellales; Glomerellaceae.